GGUCGAUAAGACGAGAGCGUAACAUUUUGACCUUACCGAAAAAGAGGUACUAAAAAGCGGAAGACAUUCAAAUAUGAAGCAACAUACAGAAAACUUAUGCGUUAUCCCAAGGGUUCCUUUGACAUACAGAGUAUAUGGCAUUCUUCCGUUAUGAAGUAUCGAAUUCAACGUACCAAUUACGACCGGACGUGCCUGUGAAUUUAACAUAUGCACAACCUUUAAGACAAUCUACUUCCGCAAAAGUUAAACAUGUUCCAACGGACAGAAGAACUACAGGGAUGUUCAAAAUUAUCUUGGUCAAUCCUUAUGAUUGAACUAAUUUGAAAUUGAAUCUUCUGAAUAAUAUAUUUUUAAUGUUUCAUUAACAAAGGAGUAAUUCAAGUUGGUGAACACAAUAGCAAAUUUAUUUAAUAAAAAUAACAGCAAUAAAAUAAUAACAAAUAUUUGCAAUUGGAUAUUAAAAUAUGAACGAUGACAAAAAUACUGAAAGAAAGAACAAUAUUAACAAAUAUUGAUAUAAAACAAUGGUUAAAAAAUUGUCUUCAUAAACAAUAGCACGUGCAUUUUUCUCGUGCAGUUACGUCAGGUGACCAUGUAUAAAGUGAAUCACAAGUAAUAAAUAAACGAAAAAUAUGAGUGUGUCUUACCUGAGUUAUACAUGUUAUAACCAACAAAAGUAUUAAAAGUCUUAAAACAUUUUUAAAUAUUAAAAUAAUAUGCCCUAGCAAGAUACAUAAACAAUCAACCUUUAGAAAAACAAUAAC
RNAcentral lists this long non-coding RNA (764 nucleotides) under Mytilus galloprovincialis (Mediterranean mussel). Lineage: Eukaryota; Metazoa; Mollusca; Bivalvia; Mytilida; Mytilidae. The record is from RNAcentral.